CUCAACCUUUAUAUAUGUUAUGUAUUAUCAUAAAAUACAACUUACAUUUUAAUAUUAAGGAUGAACACGAAUGCGGCCACUUUCGUUUUACACGAAAACCGUCUAAAAUUUAACUAAAAUGCUAGAAUUGUGAAGAUUUCAGUGAUUUAGCAUGACUUAAUGGUGCUUCUACUCGAUAUAUGUGCAUUGUAUUGUCAAAAACAGCCCAUAUUUAUGUAACAGAAGCAUUCUACUGUUCAAUUAAUAAAUAAAAGUUUACAUUUUAACAAUUUUGUAAAACUGCUAUAUUUUGGGGCCAAAAAGGGGUCUUACCGGACCUACUCCUUUAAU
RNAcentral lists this long non-coding RNA (330 nucleotides) under Mytilus galloprovincialis (Mediterranean mussel). The record is from RNAcentral. Lineage: Eukaryota; Metazoa; Mollusca; Bivalvia; Mytilida; Mytilidae.